CCUACGGGAGGCAGCAGUGAGGAAUAUUGGUCAAUGGACGAGAGUCUGAACCAGCCAAGUAGCGUGAAGGAUGACUGCCCUAUGGGUUGUAAACUUCUUUUAUAUGGGAAUAAAACGUUCCACGUGUGGGUUUUUGUAUGUACUAUAUGAAUAAGGAUCGGCUAACUCCGUGCCAGCAGCCGCGGUAAUACGGAGGAUCCGAGCGUUAUCCGGAUUUAUUGGGUUUAAAGGGAGCGUAGGUGGGUUGUUAAGUCAGUUGUGAAAGUUUGCGGCUCAACCGUAAAAUUGCAGUUGAUACUGGCAGUCUUGAGUACAGUAGAGGUGGGCGGAAUUCGUGGUGUAGCGGUGAAAUGCUUAGAUAUCACGAAGAACUCCGAUUGCGAAGGCAGCUCACUGGACUGCGACUGACACUGAGGCUCGAAAGUGUGGGUAUCAAACAGGAUUAGAUACCCCUGUAGUC
This 460-nucleotide ribosomal RNA is filed under the name uncultured bacterium. RNAcentral describes it as "partial 16S ribosomal RNA". It matches the Rfam family "Bacterial small subunit ribosomal RNA", at positions 338 to 795 of the family's 1533-position model. The record is from RNAcentral.